Molecule: ribosomal RNA, 460 nt
Filed under: uncultured bacterium
Lineage: Bacteria
Description: partial 16S ribosomal RNA
Rfam family: Bacterial small subunit ribosomal RNA
Source: RNAcentral
CCUACGGGAGGCUGCAGUGAGGAAUAUUGGUCAAUGGACGCAAGUCUGACCCAGCCAUGCCGCGUGCAGGAAGACGGCUCUAUGAGUUGUAAACUUCUUUUGUACGGGGGUAAACGCAGAUACGCGUAUCUGUCUCAACGUAUCAUAAGAAUACGGAUCGGCUAACUCCGUGCCAGCAGCCGCGGUAAUACGGAGGAGUCAAGCGUUAUCCGGAUUUAUUGGGGUUAAAGGGUGCGUAGGUGGUCUGUUAAGUUAGAGGUGAAAUCCCGAGGCUAAACUGUGGAAUUGCCUUUGAAACUGUCAGUCUAGAGAGCAGUUGAGGUAGGCGGAAUGUAUGGUGUAGCGGGGAAAUGCUUAGAGAUCAGACAGAACACCGAUUGCGAAGGCAGCUUACUAAGCUACUACUGACGUGGAGGCGCGAAAGCGUGGGGAGCAAACAGGAUUAGAUACCCGAGUAGUC